AUUGAACGCUGGCGGCAGGCCUAACACAUGCAAGUCGAACGGUAACAGGGAUCAGCUUGCUGAUUCGCUGACGAGUGGCGGACGGGUGAGUAAUGUCUGGGACACUGCCUGAUGGAGGGGGAUAACUCCUGGAACCGGUAGCUAAUACCGCAUAACGUCGCAAGACCAAAGAGGGGGACCUUCGGGCCUCUUGCCAUCGGAUGUGCCCAGAUGGGAUUAGCUAGUAGGUGGGGUAACGGCUCACCUAGGCGACGAUCCCUAGCUGGUCUGAGAGGAUGACCAGCCACACUGGAACUGAGACACGGUCCAGACUCCUACGGGAGGCAGCAGUGGGGAAUAUUGCACAAUGGGCGCAAGCCUGAUGCAGCCAUGCCGCGUGUAUGAAGAAGGCCUUCGGGUUGUAAAGUACUUUCAGCGGGGAGGAAGGGAGUAAAGUUAAUACCUUUGCUCAUUGACGUUACCCGCAGAAGAAGCACCGGCUAACUCCGUG
Molecule: ribosomal RNA, 490 nt
Filed under: uncultured bacterium
Lineage: Bacteria
Description: partial 16S ribosomal RNA
Rfam family: Bacterial small subunit ribosomal RNA
Source: RNAcentral